Molecule: unclassified non-coding RNA, 253 nt
Filed under: uncultured Caryophanales bacterium
Lineage: Bacteria; Bacillati; Bacillota; Bacilli; Caryophanales
Description: uncultured Bacillales bacterium contains 16S-23S intergenic spacer region
Rfam family: Bacterial small subunit ribosomal RNA
Source: RNAcentral
UACGUAGGUGGCAAGCGUUGUCCGGAAUUAUUGGGCGUAAAGGGCGCGCAGGCGGCCUCUUAAGUCUGUUGUGAAAGCCCCAGGCUCAACUGGGGAGGGCCCUUGGAUACUGGGAGGCUUGAGUAUAGGAGAGAAGAGUGGAAUCCCACGUGUAGCGGUGAAAUGCGUAGAGAUGUGGAGGAACACCAGUGGCGAAGGCGACUCUUUGGCCUAUAAUUGACGCUGAGGCGCGAAAGCGUGGGGAGCAAACAGG